This is a long non-coding RNA of Myotis lucifugus (little brown bat), 915 nucleotides long. RefSeq lists it as uncharacterized. NCBI's taxonomy places the organism in Eukaryota, Metazoa, Chordata, Mammalia, Chiroptera, Vespertilionidae. The transcript is spliced from 2 exons. The record is from RefSeq and is a predicted model, not a curated record.
UGGCUCCACCAAUCAAACGCGCGGAAAUCUCGGCCGGCCUCACGAUCUCCACCAAAGGAAAGCGAAAGGAGGGACGCGAACGGAAGUUGGGGGAUCUGCUGCUUAGUGACGCGCGGCGUCCCGGAAGUGGCCCCGGUCCACGUGGGCGAGGGCAUGGAGGCGGGGCUUGGGUGGGGCGGGGCCUGAGGCUCGCUCCGCUGAACUCCGGCCGCCCCGAGGCAACUUGACCCCGGAAGCAGGGUGCCGGGCUGCGGUGCGGCGGGACCCUGCGGUGCGAGCCUCAGGUACCUCUUCUCGCGGGAGGCCCCGCAGCCUCACUCUUCACCCUCCUCUCCACUGACGGUUUUCCCUGUGCUAUAGAGAGUGUAAAGAGGUGUGGCCUUACAUCGGAUGACUUCCUUCUCCCUUAAGACAUUAUUUAAACGUGUUUACUCAUCUAAGACAUUUGUUUUAUGUGAAGAGAUGUGUUUUGGUAGAGUUGUCUGAAGUCUUUUUUAGUAUGUUGUGUGUGUUUUUUUUCAUUUCAGAGUUGCAACAUUGAAUGCAGUGGGUAGAAAUUAGUAUUGUAUAGGUAGGUUCAGUGUUAUUUAAGCCCAAACCAAAAUGUGUUUUGUUUUUUGUGUGUUAGAAUUAUGUCUGUAACUUCAUUAAAACAUAAAAAUAUAUCAUAUCAUUGUAUCAUUAAUUUAGAAGAGUUGGGACAACACUAAAGUCUUUAAAUUAUAUUCUUGAGACCCAAAUGAUAUAAAUUACAAGUACAGUUUAUUUAUAAGCUCCAGAAAGCAACAACUUUAUCUUCUAAAUGUCUACAUCUCCCCACACUAUUUAGAAAAAAUAAUCUAUGGUGCCACAUGUACGGCAUUAAAGAGAGGGAAAUUGUUGUUUUCUUUUUAAAAUAAAACCUCUUGAAAUUAA